AGCUGAAUGUCAUUUCUUUUCUCUCUACUUCAGCUCCCUCACAGCACAGGCGGCUGCUACUCCUGAAGCUUCCCCACAUUCAUGUAAUAAAUAAAUAAUCACACCUUUUCUGCUGUCAAAGCUGAAAGCAUGCACAGCUGUGUGCCACAAGAUACACUGGGACUGCAAGCUGAGUCCUGGCUCUGAAGAGGGUCCUGCCUCCCUCCCAGACACGAAGAUCUGAGUGCACACAUGGUUAAGCUGGGUAAAACAGCUCCAGGGAGCCAUGGCUGUCCCAGGCCAGGUGAUGGAGACUGCAUCAGAGCAAAGGAGGGCUGUGCCUCUUCUUGGACUGUCUUGGACAGAAGGGAUGAGAGUUGCCACAUGUACCUUUCUCUGCUGGAAAUUGGUCUUCCAAGUGGUGAAAUCUGCAGAAAUUCCUGUUUAUCCCCAGAGCAUCCUCUCUGACCUGGGAGAUGGGAGAGAAGUGCCUGGAGGAGGAGGGAGAUUGUGUCCCUUGGAGACAGGAGGCUCAGGAAAGGACAGCAAAUCCUGAAACUCGUGCAGCAGCCCCUUCUCCAGCUCCUUUCUCUUCUCUGGACACGCUCCAGCCCCUCAAUGUCCUUCCUGCUGGGGUCCCAAACAACCCAGGAUGUGAAGAGUGGUCUCACAGUGUGUCUGUCACUGCCCUGGUCCUGUGUCACCUUCCUGGGCACUGAUCCAGCUCUGACCCUGGUCCUGAGCUGUCCUGGUGUGUCCUGUGUCCCUUCCAGCUCCCUGCUGCCCUGGGCCCCUCUGCACCUUUCCUUGUGCGUGCUUAUUUUAACUAUGCUGUGGUCAAAGCACUAAAAAACAUUGAAUAAAAAGAGUUAUUUGGUUUCUCCAUCAAUAAUUUCCUUCCUCCUCGUGCUGUGCCCUUCAGCUGCUGUUGAGACUUUCACCCACGUCACAGAUUCUACUAAAUCCUGUCUUCUCAAGCUUAGCUAAUGACAAAUGCUCUAUGGAAAUCUGGAUGAAACCUGCUGCAUCUCAUUUGCCUGGAAAAUCUUUCAAGGAAAGACAGCAGGUUGGGGGGGUGUGGAAUGUUGUGCUUGUGAUAAAUAGUGAACUUAAUGAAGAUUGCUGAUGGACAGCAUUGUGUGCUGGGGCCUUUUGUUUCCCCCAGUAUAAGAUGGAUGGUGGUAUCCAGGAUUUCCUCGGUGUUUCUGCCUUGUAGGAUUGUCCACCCUGUCGUUCAGCCCUCUGCUCCCGAGCAGGAGCUGCCAAUUUGUGCCAGUAGCAAUUUCCCACCUCCCCCAUUCCUCCUUUGAGGGAGUUGAUCUUGAGAUAUUUUUUUUAAUAUAUUAGUUUAUAAUUAAAGGAUAUUGUAUUAAGAG
This is a long non-coding RNA of Parus major (Great Tit), 1355 nucleotides long. RefSeq lists it as uncharacterized. The transcript is spliced from 3 exons. Lineage: Eukaryota; Metazoa; Chordata; Aves; Passeriformes; Paridae. The record is from RefSeq and is a predicted model, not a curated record.